RNAcentral lists this ribosomal RNA (28 nucleotides) under Medicago brachycarpa. RNAcentral describes it as "partial 28S ribosomal RNA". Lineage: Eukaryota; Viridiplantae; Streptophyta; Magnoliopsida; Fabales; Fabaceae. RNAcentral also lists the same sequence under 6 other names. The record is from RNAcentral.
GUUUUGCAACGCUCGUGAUGAGACCUCA